CAAACGCUCAGCCAAUUGUUUACAUAACAACAGACGCAGCGCAGCACGCGACUGAAGAAAGAAGAGACAACCAAUUUACUAGAUACAGUGUCAGCACGCCCUCUGGAAAGUAAGCUUGCCAGUUACAUCAGCGCUUCCCCUAAAUGAUAAUUAAGAGGGAACGUUAGGUGAGAAGCCUGACCGGGGUGAGAAGGUGAAGAAGCGUACUUCAUGAGCUUUAACCAAAAAAAUACUGGUAUUUGGAAAGUUUGAGUAUGUGGUUAAUUUUCAGAAUGUGGAUUCGGGAAUCAAGUGUAGCUGGAGCUGGGCCUGUCUUAAGCUAGAUGCCACUAUAGAGCAAUGGAAGUGGCAUCUUCCGUGGACCUGUUGGAGCAGUAGGCAAAUUGGAGUGGGUCCGGUGUGCCUGGCAUGCAGGCCUUGAAGUGGGCCAUGACCAGCCUCUCAAAGCACUUCAUGAUGACAAAGGUGAGUGCAACGGCAUGUCACCUUGUGUUUCUUGGGCACUGGGAUGA
Long non-coding RNA from Oncorhynchus keta (chum salmon), 512 nucleotides. RefSeq lists it as uncharacterized. NCBI's taxonomy places the organism in Eukaryota, Metazoa, Chordata, Actinopteri, Salmoniformes, Salmonidae. The record is from RefSeq and is a predicted model, not a curated record. The transcript has 3 exons.